RNAcentral lists this ribosomal RNA (912 nucleotides) under Triticum aestivum (bread wheat). RNAcentral's name for it is "partial small subunit ribosomal RNA". The record is from RNAcentral. Lineage: Eukaryota; Viridiplantae; Streptophyta; Magnoliopsida; Poales; Poaceae.
AUGGAGUUCAGAUCUGGGUGUCGCCUGGGUUUCCUAGAUUCAGAUCACAUCAGCACCCUUACCGAUGAUCUACUCCUUCUCAUCCUUGUCAGGCUCCCCUGCAUCAAAGUUGUGGCGCGCACAAGCAUCCUCUCACAGCGAUGGUGUGGCCUCUGUGCCCAUCUCCGCCAAAUAAUCUUUCGCGAGGUCGUGUUCGACCCGAUCGAACCAGCACUCCGCCAGAUCUCUUGUCCUCCUGCAGUUUCCCUGUUGGAAAUCCACGCCCCUGAGCAAGACAUGGCCAGCACCGCACAAGUCAACUCGUUGUUGUCUGUCGCUGCGGAACUUGAGCCGAAGGAGUUCGUCGCCUCCUUAACCUCAAGCUUUGGCCUAUUAUCCAGGACCAUCAUCAUUGAUUUGCCUUGCUUCCACCGCACCACCUGCAUCAUGCUGGACCAUGUAUACAUUCGCUCUGUGCCAGUCGGCAUCGAGUUCCCUAUGCUCGAGACGUUGCCCCUACUGCACUGCAAUGGCAACCUCGAUGCCUUGCUCUCAUGCUGCCCGCGGUUGCGCACCCUCCUCCUCAGCGGCAUUUUAUUUGAGACAUCUGAUCUAAGGGUGAAUUCACCGUCGCGACAGGAGCUUGUUGUAAACUCAUUCUCGACAGAGCGUGUCAACAUUGUAGCCCCCAUGCUUAAGAAAUUGGAGAUUCUCUUUACCGUGAUGUUGGAGGUUAACAUUUCGGUGUUGGCACCAAUUAUGGAGAAUGUCUGGUGGUACUGCUGCUACACAGAGGAGUCUAUUGUGUUUGGCCUUUGGUAUCUUGAGUUGUUGGGAUUUCAGGCGGCAGAUAGACAAGGACAACUCCCUUUGUUGCAUAUUCGUGCAAGUGUAGAUUCGUCACUUUUCCCCUAUGAGCCAAACUUUGCAUAG